This 277-nucleotide long non-coding RNA is filed under the name Elaeis guineensis (African oil palm). RNAcentral describes it as "long non-coding RNA (EGUI_LNC070781)". The record is from RNAcentral. Lineage: Eukaryota; Viridiplantae; Streptophyta; Magnoliopsida; Arecales; Arecaceae.
UGCCAUGAGUUUUAGGAGCAAACUCCUCAGGUGUUGGGUCUAUAAUGACAUACAAGAUCCACUCGUGCUCCAGGAUGAUUUUUAAUUUUCGAUACCAGUUAUCAAAAUUAGGUCCCGUCAACUUCUCACCAUCCAAUAGUAAUCGAAGCGACAAGUUUGAGACCAUAUCUGUACAAAAAAAAAAUCAAAACCUAAUCAGUAUAUGAAUUAAUUAAGCCUAAAGAUAUGGACUUUAGUUUAAAGAUUCUUCCACUAUUUUAUAGAAAUUGGUAGCCUC